RNAcentral lists this ribosomal RNA (253 nucleotides) under uncultured microorganism. RNAcentral's name for it is "partial 16S ribosomal RNA". It matches the Rfam family "Bacterial small subunit ribosomal RNA", at positions 524 to 776 of the family's 1533-position model. The record is from RNAcentral.
UACGAAAGGGGCUAGCGUUGUUCGGAUUUACUGGGCGUAAAGGGCACGCAGGCGGUCUUGCCAGUCAGGGGUGAAAGCCCGGGGCUCAACCUCGGAACUGCCUCUGAUACUGCAAGACUUGAGACUAGGAGAGGGUGGUGGAAUUCCCAGUGUAGAGGUGAAAUUCGUAGAUAUUGGGAGGAACACCAGAGGCGAAGGCGGCCACCUGGACUAGAUCUGACGCUCAGGUGCGAAAGCGUGGGGAGCAAACAGG